AUUGAACGCUGGCGGCAGGCCUAACACAUGCAAGUCGAACGAGUGGCGGACGGGUGAGUAAUGUCUGGGAAACUGCCUGAUGGAGGGGGCUAACUACUGGAAACGGUCGCUAAUACCGCAUACCAUCAGAUGUGCCCAGAGGGGAUUAGCUAGUUGGGGGGGUAACGGCUCACCAAGGCGACGAUCCCUAGCUGGUCUGCUAGGAUGACCAGCCAACCUGGAACUGAGCCACGGGCCAGACUCCUACGGGAGGCAGCAGGGGGGAAUAUUGAACAAUGGGCGCAAUCCUGAUGCAGCCAUGCCGCGUGUAUGAAGAAGGCCUUCGGGUUGUAAAGUACUUUCAGCGGGGAGGCGUUACCCGCAGAAGAAGCACCGGCUAACUCCGUGCCAGCAGCCGCGGUAAUAC
RNAcentral lists this ribosomal RNA (406 nucleotides) under uncultured bacterium. Its description in RNAcentral is "partial 16S ribosomal RNA". It matches the Rfam family "Bacterial small subunit ribosomal RNA", at positions 30 to 526 of the family's 1533-position model. The record is from RNAcentral.